CGAUUUCGAAUUUCCUCAACAGACAAGGUCCAACCGGAAAGCUAACAUGACACAAAUGCUACAAAUUGAUGGACACUUAAAUUGAUACUGCAAAAGUACAGAUCACCACCUCUCAAAGUCAUAAAUUGUAGACCAAGUCUAACAAUGCAGUGCAAGUUUGAAGAUGGCAAUAAAAUGCUAGAUGAAGUUUGCGCAGCGAUUUUGUGCUUGUUUAGAUUCAUUUCAACUAAUCUUGGAUACUCCUAUUCUCCUUGACAUGAAUUUCUCCAACUUCAGUCUGUCUGAAUCCAAAGGGAGGUGGCUCAGAACAUGCCCUCAAAACAGCCUCAUUCUGUGACAAACAUUUCAAUUUAUUCAGUUAAUAAUUUAAAUUUAUAAAAUAUAGCACAGGAGAACACAUUAUAAACAUGCCAUGCUUAAGCUCUUUCCUAAUAUAAAAUUGACGAUAUAUUUUUAAAAUUUUAGUUUUGGACCUUUUAGAUUGCGGUUGAGAUUAAAGCCAAGAUUUAAGCUUGAAAUAAGAUCCAGUUGCUUUCAAGCCAAGUUAAGCCAAAUGCAAUCUUAAUUUUUUUAAUCAAUCCAAUUACGAGCUAGAGUGAUUUCACAUAUUCCCAAUCUCAACUCAAUUCACCACAACUGGAAGGGGUUUAACACUGUACGUAUAUUCCCUUGGAUAUUCAUGGUCUGCAUUGUUAUAGUAUUAUUUUCUACAAUCUACAUGGAAGAUUCAACACAAGUUCAAAUUAUAUCGAUAUGUUCAAUUACUGAAUCAUCGAAUGGACUCAUGAAAAAUCUGGUGAACACUGAUUCAGAAUUAAGUAGAUUCAUGUUCCAGUGAGGUAAUCCAGAAUGGUGACCGAUAAUUGGGUUUCUCAUCUAGUUCCUUGGCUUAGAAUCAAUAUUCCAAAAAACAUUCCUGGAAACUUUCAAUAUUAUAUGUAAAUUGAAGUUCUCUAGAUGCGAACCAUAGUGAUUAUAAUUCCCAAUGGUGUCAAAUAAAUUUGACUUUCAAUAAUUUCUAAAUUAUACACAAAAAUCUUGAUUUUAAUACUCCAUGAUAAAGAAUGAACAUGGUUAUGGAGUUCAUUUUCCUCUGAGGUAAAGAGGUAGUAGGCAACAGGACAAGAUAUGAUUUGAUUGCAAAGCGCUGAUAAAAAUAUUUCUGACUUUUUUAGUGACAAAGCAAUGCUUCUUAUGGGGUGUCAUAAGGAAGGCUUAGCUAAUUUAUUGCAGUCUAACAUCAAAGAUGGAGGUAAACAAUUGCUCAUAAAGUCGACUACAUGGAAAAAGAAUGCUGAUCACGCAGUUUGAAUUGAGUUGACAUAAUAAUAAACUGAUGAUAUUUUUAAAAGACCCGAGCAUCUGUUUUCUCAUAAUUGAACCUUCUUUUAUAUCUACACCCCUUUUAACAUAUAAGAAGGCAAUCUAAAUUCAGGAAGCAUCAUACAGCCCUUCAGUUAUGCCAAUGACGUUACAACCCAAAAUCAUAAGAAAUUGGGGGUGGAGUAUCGCACACUGCACAGAAACUACUCUAAAAUUGCAUCGAUUCACAGCUUUAACACUCAAAUUUCAAAAAACAUAUCCAAAAAAACUAAAAAGAAAAUGAAAGAAGAAAAUGAAUGGAAAAAGAAAAUAAAAAUGAUGUGAUACAGAUCCUUAAAUUAAAAUAAAUUCAUCAAAGUUGAAUGUAUUUUCAAGCUCAUACCACACAUAUGCUAACAACUUUCCACUCAAGCAAGUAAUGCAAAUACUAAGCGCUUUAGGAGGAUUGGUGAAAUGGGCUACAGAGCUUAGCAAAUUUGACCUUAAGUUCAAGGUAAGGACUUCCAUCAAAGUCCAGGCUCUCGCAAAUUUGUGUCAAAAUUUGUUAAUAUUCCUAAAAUGGAAGAAACAAUGGAGCCCAUAGAGUCCCCUACGUGGAAAUUAUUCAUAAAUGGCUCCUCAUGGUAAAUAGAAGUAGGGGCAUGUAUUAUCUUGGUUAGUCCAAAAGGUCACACACUUAGUGUAGUAAGGUUCGAUUUCAAAGUCAUGAAUAGUGUUAUAGAAUAUGAAGCCAUUCUAGUUGGCCUUUGUUUGGCAAAGGAGAUACAUGUCAAAAGCUACUCGUAAAUAGUGAUUCCCAACUAGUUGUUAACUAGGUGAAUGGUAACUUCACCACAAGAUAUAAAGGAAUGACUGUGUAUCUCAAAAUGGUCAUGGACCUCUUUAUCUUCUUCAAAAAACUCGAAUUAACCCAAGCCCCACAAACGAAGAAUAUUAUCGCCAACAUUCUCUCCAAGCUAGCAAUCAGCAAGGAUUCGAAACUAUUGAAGGUAGUGCUUAUUGAGCACCUUCCUAAGCCCUUUAACGGCUAAAGGAAAGGAGAUAAUGUGAAUAGAAGAAAGCCCUCUAUAUAUGUAGCCUAUAAUAGCUUUUCUCAAAGAUUCGACCUUACCUCAAGAUAAAGAAGAAGCUCAUAAAUUUAGUAGAAUGGUAGCUCAUUUCGUGCUCCAAGAUGAUGUCCUAUACAAGCGUGGGUUUUCCCUGCCUCUUAUCAAAUGCAUGGGAAAAGAAGAGGUAGCAUAUGUCUUGUAGGAAAUCCACAAAGAGAUCUAUGGAAAUCAUACGGGAGGACCAGAACUUGCACAUAAAUUGUUGAGACUAGCCCAUCUUGGAAAAAAAAAUGCAAUUCAAUUCGUUCAAAAAUUUGACAAGCACUAAUGUUUCUCAAAUGUCCAAAGACAACUCUUCGAAGAGCUCAUUGCGGUAUCUACUCCAUGGCCAUAUGCCAAAUGGGAAAUUGAUCUCAUAGGUCUCCUCCCUAAUCAAAAAAGAAGCACAAACUUCACAACUAUCACCAUUGAUUACUUUACCAAGUGGGUAGAAGCUGAAGCAUUGUCUAAAAUUACUAAGGCAAACACCAAUUUUAACAGACAAUGAUUGACAAUUUGAUAACAAAAAAGGUAUGGACCUAUAUGAGGAGCUUAUGAUUAAGAAGCACUAUUCUACCCACUAUCAUCUUUAUGCUAAUAGGCAAGUGGAAGCUAUCAACAAGACUAUAAAGUACACCAUCAAAAGAAAGCUGGAUACUUCGAAAGGGACGUGGGUUGAUAAAUUACCUCAGGACUUAUGGACAAUCCGAACUACUAGCGGAACUACCACAAAAGAGACUCUUUUCUCUAUGGCCUAUAGAGCAGAAGCUAUGAGUCCAGUGGAAGUGGGUUUACACUCUGCUCGUCCCUUACAGUUUAAUGAGAUAUCCAAUGAUGAGUUGAGAAGAUACGAACUUAACUUUCUUGAAGAAAAAGGAUAAGUCUCAAGCGAAGCUGGCCACUUACCAAUGGAAGAUGACACGCUACUACAAUGCAAAGGUGAAGAAAAAGUCUUUUUGCAUGAAUGAUUUGGUUCUAAGGAGGGUCUUUCCAUCAUCCAAAGAGCCAAGUACUAGCACCCUUGGCCCUAAAUGGGAAGGUCCCUACUACUUCAUAGAGGAGAUAAGGCUCAACAUCUACAGGAUUGAAGAUCUAGAGGAGAAAAUACAACCCCAUCCAUGGAAUUCUGAACACCUAAGGAAGCAUUAUCAAUAGAAAUAAUACUGGAUUGAAUGAGGUUCCCAAACAAAUGUAAGUAUUCUUGAAUCAAUGAAAUAAAACUUGUAUAAAUAUUGCCUUGACAUCUCCCUACCUUUGUCAAACAAAUCUAAAUCGACAUGAGAGAAGCCUCUACGUGGAUGUACAAACUCCAUGCAGAGAACAUUGACGAAACCACGUGCCUUCCAUAAAAGAGGUUGCAUUGUCAUAGAAGAAGCAUCUGUAUGGACGCACCAAACUCUAUGCAAGAAAAUGAUUAACAUGUAUCCUCUCAUCAACAAAGUUGAAUCACCAUGGGAGAAGCCUCUGUAUGGACACACCAAACUCCAUGUAGAGAAGCUGUACGAACAUACAUAGACACACUAAACUUCAUGCAAGGAAGCAUAGAUGAACCCGCAUGCCUCCUAUAAACGAAGUUGAAUUUUCAUGGGAGAAGUCUCUGCAUGGACGCAACAAACUUCAUGCAGAGAAGCAUGGAUGAACCUAUGUGCCUUCCAUGAAAAAAGUUGAAUCAUCAAGGACAAAGCCUCUGCAUGGACGUACCAAACUCAAUGUAGAGAAGCGUGGAUGAACCCGAGUGCUCCCAUGAACGGAGCUGAUCGCAACAAGAGAAGCCUCUAUAUAGAAGUACUAACUUGGACAAUUGGACAAAUCCUCGUGCCUCCCAUGAAUGAAGCUGAAUCGUCAUGUGAGAAGCCUUUGCAUGGACACACCAAACUCCAUGCAAAGAAGUGUGGACAAACUUGCAUGCCUCUCAUAAAUGAAACAAAAUCGUCAUGGGAGAAGCCUCUACAUAGACACUUUAUUGAUCAUGCAUGAAUGAUUACUGACAAAGUACAAAUCCGAGCCUCUUGCACUACGAAUAUAAAGAACUCAUGAUUUCAAGAAAAAUGGAGGAAAAGUUAAGUGUAGGAUAAAAAAUACUUACGAAAUUGAAGAAAGAACAAGAAAGGUCGCCAAAUUUCUUAAGAAGUGGCAAAAAAAAAAAUCUUGACAGUUCUAAAAUUUCAAUAAAGUUGAGAAUGUUUGAAAGUUUUUUUUUUUGCAAAGUAAAAAACUAAAUGAUUCAAGAAGUUGCCUUCUUAUAGGCAACACACAUAAACCUGAGCCGUUGGAUUUGGAUCCGGAACAUCAAGACAUCCAUUAAAUAUUUAAUCUGAACUACAAAUCACAUAAGGCGCUUCACAUUCAACAGAUAAGAUCAAUGUGUUUGUUUCAUGCAUGCACAACAACUAGUGCUUGGAAACGCUUGUAGCGCUCAUUAUUAAGCUUUAAAAGCAACGAUGGCUAUACGUAUGGAAAGUUAACCCUCUUCAAGUGUCUUUUCUUGAAAACAUACAAGACAUCAAAUCAUUUAAACACAAUAAUUGAGGAGAUUGUUCACUUUCUCAAAACGUUAAUAAUAAUAAUAAUAAUAAUAAUAAUAAUAAUAAUAAUAAUAAUAAUAAUAAUAUAUCUAUUACAACCUCAAUAUACAGUUUCAAACAGCAAAGGCCUAAGCUUCCUUCUGAAAAGUUAUAAUACUAUUUGAAAGUCCUAUUUAGCCAAUUUAUUUUGACCCAACGUACGGAAUUAUACAAUUAAAAGCAACAAAUCACUUUUUAAUUGUUUUUAGAUGGUUAAUCAUAUAAGUCAAAUUAUCCUACGUUGAACUCCCACAGUUUGUAAUACGAAAGCAAUAAAUAACACAAGAAUUGAUGACAGAAAAAUCCAACUGGGUAACAAUUUCAAGACCAAGCCAUUAAACUCCACUAUAACAAUGAUGAACUUACAAUACGAUCUAGUGAAAAAAAUUUCACUGGACUUGCUGAUAUAUUUCCUACAAUCUUUAAGACCCACUAGAAUGUGCUUCACUCAUACCUAUUAUCGAUCCUCUGAAAUUGUCUAUCUUCCGUAAAUCGUUAAGAACACAUUGUUCUUGUUCUCUUCCUAUGCUGCUGGUCCAACCUCACUCAAUCUUCAGCACUCUGAAAGCUAUUGAGAAAUUACCUUCUUGUAUACAUAUAGGAAGUGUGUGUUUUGGAUUAUAUGAAGUUGAUUUUUUUUUUCAAAUAUGUGGUUGUAUGAAUUUAAGAAUCAAUGAAUAAAUCAAAGUCUUGAAUGCUUCUUAAAUCUUUGAAGGAUGAUAUGUAGGAGAAUUAUAAUGAACAACGACACCAAAAAACGUGUUAGGGCAAGAGUUUAUAUAGUAGAAAGCAUCUAGGUAGCAUGUGUCAAUUAAAACUUGAGUGACAGGCGAGCAGCUAGUGUGUUGCUCGAGUGAUUGCUCAAUGACAUACGGGAGACAAGGUUAUUGUUUUUAUCACUCAAGCAUCAGAUGGCCGAUAGGCUAGCGUAAAUCCGACGACUCUUUCCUCUUAGUUCCAAACUCGAACCUUAAGAUACCUAUUUUAUCUAUACAAUAUUCCAACUGACUCCUUGACUUUUCCAACUUUUCAUAUUAGUCAUUUUUGUCUAAUGAAUUGCCAAUAUAAUAUAAAUCCUAACACCUUCUUUUGAAAAUUCAGCAGAAGAGUAGACAGCUUUGGAUAAGGACUUGAAAGACACGUUUUUUUUCCAAAUCCUUAAAGACUGAAUUUUUACCUUCAUUUCUUUCGCCUUCUAUAUACACGCUUUAUUAGUUUUUUUUUUUUUUAAAGUCUUUUCGACUUUACUUUAUUAUUUUUUUUAAAAAAAAAAAUUUAUUUGACUUUAUUUUCAAGUUUUUAAAAUAUUUUAUCUGUACAAAAGUCAAAAAUGAUUUUAUCGGAAUAGUUAAAUAAGAUUUAAGUUAUUGUGUUAUCUACAUUAUGUAAUUAUGAUCUUGAGACACAUUUUAUUACAAACUUCAAAAGCAUGUAUGAAGUUCCUAUAAAUAUAUUAAGUAGAAUUUGUCUAGUUAAAAAUUGAAACUUUGAAAAAUAUUCUAAAUUUUGCAUUUUGAAAACUUGAAAAUUGUAUAAUCGACUAGUGGUGGGAAUUAUUAAGCCUAUGUUUGUCAUCCUUUAACAAAUUAAAUUGUUUGCUACAGUAAUAUUCUCCAUCAUACAUUUACAUAACAAAAUAUUCUACACAUAAACCUAUAAGAUUUUCUUAAAUUUUAACCACAUAUUCUCCAAAAAAUACUAUUCAAAACUCUAUAAUUUCUUCCUUAAUUGGAGAUAGCAGGCUCUAAGUAAAUAUUGUAUUUUAUAAUUUUAGAUGUUUAAUAUGUAUUAUUUUAUUUAUUAAAUAAUUUUUAAAAUGAUUAAAUUUUUUUUUGUAAUAAUAUAAAUAAGAAAGCGUUUUUUUAGGCCUAAACCUCGAAUAGGCUCGUUUAAGCACGUAAAGCUUGAAACCUGGGCUCCACAUCUAGUCACACUUUACACUUUUUAGAACACUAUUUUUAAUGAUCUUCCUCCAAAGAUUUAGACCUUAAUCCACAUCGAAACAUCAAUAUUAAGGCUGGACAAAAUUUUCGAAUCGAAUUGAAUCACAAUCGAACUUAAUCGAAUUGAGCGAUUCUUCUUAAAUUAAAUACUCAAAUGGGUAUUUGAAUCGAGAAUCGAUAAGUUUAGUUCGAUUCUUCAUUCUAGACCAAUAAUCGAAUAAGAACCGAAUCUCCCUUAUUUUUAAUUUUUUAAUCUUAGAUACGCUAAAAUAUUUUAUUUUUUAAAAUAAAAAUUUGCUAACUAAUUAGCCUGAACCCAAAAUAUGAUUUUACUAUUUCUAGUUUCCAACGAAGCCCAAUUUAAUCAAACUAACUUAAAUUUUACCUAAAUUUCCUAUUCUACCAUUUUUGUCAUUUUGGAGAAAUUGAAUUGAAAGUCGACUGGACAUCUCUUCAUUAUUGUGAGCUCGCUAUCUUCCUGUUAUUGUGAUUUUAAUAGUCAAAUAUAUGAAGAACUCAACAAAUUAAGGCGCAAAAGCUAAGAUUGAACAUGUCAUAAUAGAAUUAAUAUAGCGUUAAAUAUAAAAAUUAGUUAUUGUAUUGAGCUUGACAGUCGAAUAGAAUCGAACCGAAUGAAACCUAACCCAAAAGGUUCCAUGAUUAAAUUUGGACCUUACGAUUCCACUUACUAAAUACCUGAAAAUUCAAGUUCGGCUUGAUUCAGUUCUAAUGUCCAGCCCUAGCAGUAUUUAUCUUCAUAUAUAACACUACAGUGCAGUAAAUAGUACAUGAGGAAGAUCUUGGAAUCAACUCUACAUAUCAUGACCAAAGAAACAAAGAAAGAUCACCUAAGUGAACCGAUUUCGAAUUUCCUCAACAGACAAGGUCCAACCGGAAAGCUAACAUGACACAAAUGCUACAAAUUGAUGGACACUUAAAUUGAUACUGCAAAAGUACAGAUCACCACCUCUCAAAGUCAUAAAUUGUAGACCAAGUCUAACAAUGCAGUGCAAGUUUGAAGAUGGCAAUAAAAUGCUAGAUGAAGUUUGCGCAGCGAUUUUGUGCUUGUUUAGAUUCAUUUCAACUAAUCUUGGAUACUCGUAUUCUCCUUGACAUGAAUUUCUCCAACUUCAGUCCGUCUGAAUCCAAAGGGAGGUGGCUCAGAACAUGCCCUCAAAACAGCCUCAUU
RNAcentral lists this long non-coding RNA (8107 nucleotides) under Olea europaea (common olive). Its description in RNAcentral is "long non-coding RNA (OEUR_LNC002191)". Lineage: Eukaryota; Viridiplantae; Streptophyta; Magnoliopsida; Lamiales; Oleaceae. The record is from RNAcentral.